RNAcentral lists this ribosomal RNA (406 nucleotides) under uncultured bacterium. RNAcentral's name for it is "partial 16S ribosomal RNA". It matches the Rfam family "Bacterial small subunit ribosomal RNA", at positions 30 to 526 of the family's 1533-position model. The record is from RNAcentral.
AUUGAACGCUGGCGGCAGGCUUAACACAUGCAAGUCGAGCGAGCGGCGGACGGGUGAGUAAUGUCUGGGAAACUGCCUGAUGGAGGGGGAUAACUAAUGGAAACGGUAGCUAAUACCGCAUACCAUCAGAUGUGCCCAGAUGGGAUUGGCUAGUAGGUGGGGGAAUGGCUCACCUAGGCGACGAUCCCUAGCUGGUCUGAGAGGAGGACCAGUCACACUGGAACUGAGACACGGUCCAGACUCCGACGGUAGGCAGCAGUGGGGAAGUGUGCACAAUGGGCGCAAGCCUGAUGCAGCCAUGCCGCGUGUAUGAAGAAGGCCUUCGGGUUGUAAAGUACUUUCAGCGGGGAGGCGUUACCCGCAGAAGAAGCACCGGCUAACUCCGUGCCAGCAGCCGCGGUAAUUC